ACAAAUGCAGUCCGAUCUUUACCAUGGCCUUGGGAGGUUUCUGUUUUCCUGUGGGGAUUGCCUGAAGUCUCUGCUUUAUGCUACAGGCUGGAAUUUGUGUCUUCAACAAAGGCAAGUCUCAGACUCCUGGAAAAAGAUUAUCUGAACGUUUGAUACAUCCAAGUACAGGUUCUUGGUGCAGGUUUCUGAGCUAUUGCUGCUUAGACAAUUUCCAGACUGCUUUGAUGACUAAAUCAGGAUUUCCAGGACUCCUUUCAGUGGGAAGCAGACAUACUUCAUGAAAGCAGACCAUUCACUCCCAAUAUCCACCAGAACAUGAGUAUGUUACAUACCACAUACUAAACUAACAAAAAAAUCAUAUCGUAUUUGCUUGUUUAAACAAAAUACAGUUAGCAGUGCUCUUUAAUAACAUUCAUGGAUACAUAAAGAAGUCUUUCCUCCUUGUUCUUUACCAGUCUCUAAGUAUCAAUUUAGUAGGCUACGCAUUGGUAAACUGAAAUCAAACAUUUUUAAGUCGUGUUAUGUCUUACUAUCUCUUAGAAUUCAGAAGCAAAUACUUUUACUGAGCUUCAGAAGAAUUUAUUCUCCUUUGUAACAAGACACAAUUGGACAAAUGAAUUCUGCAUAUCCCAAAUCACACAGGACUGUUAUGUUUGAGAAUGAUUCUCAUUUAAUCAGGUCUGACAAGCCCAGUAAUUAAGGAAUAAGGAUUGGCUUUAUUUGAGGAGCCAUUGCCUUAAAAUUCUUCUAAAAACAGGGGCCUGGCUAAGUUCCCAAGUUAUAAAGGAACCACUUCCUAGAAGGUCAAGGACUUCAGAAGAAUUUUCAGACUUCAAGAGAAAUUAUUCACAUGCAUAAGUACUGUGAGUGAAAUUUGGUGGAAUGAAUGCCUUGGGCUUGGUUUCCUGGUCUCAGGAUAGAAAAGUAAAUGAGAAAGGCUAUUUCAAAUCCGGUCAAGAUUUCUUGUGAAGUUUUCCAAAUAGAAGUAAAUUUUUUUGGCAGUUGUCUUUGCUCAAUACUGUAGGGUCUAGAUUUUCAGGGUAAAUUCAAGGAGGGUUAUAUGGUUAGUUUACACUCUUGCUCCAGCCCAAAUACAACAAGAUCAGCUUUUUGUGGUCAGAAGCAAGCUUUGAAGAUUUUUUUGUAAUCACAGGAGCAGAGUAGACAGGGGAGAGUUU
Molecule: long non-coding RNA, 1178 nt
Organism: Phyllostomus discolor (pale spear-nosed bat)
Lineage: Eukaryota; Metazoa; Chordata; Mammalia; Chiroptera; Phyllostomidae
Exons: 2
Source: RefSeq, a predicted model, not a curated record